CAGUAGCCACGGGAAUACAGAGGGUGCGAGCGUUAAUCGGAUUUACUGGGCGUAAAGCGUGCGUAGGCGGCUUUUUAAGUCGGAUGUGAAAUCCCUGAGCUUAACUUAGGAAUUGCAUUCGAUACUGGUUAGCUAGAGUGUGGGAGAGGAUGGUAGAAUUCCAGGUGUAGCGGUGAAAUGCGUAGAGAUCUGGAGGAAUACCGAUGGCGAAGGCAGCCAUCUGGCCUAACACUGACGCUGAGGUACGAAAGCAUGGGGAGCAAACAGGAUUAGAUACCCGGGUAGUCCCUGUCUCUUAUAC
Molecule: ribosomal RNA, 301 nt
Filed under: uncultured bacterium
Lineage: Bacteria
Description: partial 16S ribosomal RNA
Rfam family: Bacterial small subunit ribosomal RNA
Source: RNAcentral